This 774-nucleotide ribosomal RNA is filed under the name uncultured Neocallimastigales. RNAcentral's name for it is "partial large subunit ribosomal RNA". It matches the Rfam family "Eukaryotic large subunit ribosomal RNA", at positions 26 to 616 of the family's 3401-position model. The record is from RNAcentral. Lineage: Eukaryota; Fungi; Neocallimastigomycota; Neocallimastigomycetes; Neocallimastigales.
CGCAUCUGUGCAUGCAGCAUAUCAAUAAGCGGAGGAAAAGAAACUAACAAGGAUUCCCCUAGUAACGGCGAGUGAAGCGGGAAGAGCUCAAAUUUGAAAUCUUAAAGGGUUUCCCUUUACGAAUUGUAGUUUAAAGAAGUGUUUUCUGUUGAGGUUUUGGUAAAAGUUCUUUGGAAUAGGACAUCAUAGAGGGUGAGAAUCCCGUAUUUGACCUUUACUUUCAACUUUGUGAUACACUUUCAAAGAGUCGGAUUGUUUGGGAAUGCAGUCCAAAAUGGGUGGUAAAUUUCAUCUAAAGCUAAAUAUUGGCGAGAGACCGAUAGCGAACAAGUACCGUGAGGGAAAGAUGAAAAGAACUUUGAAAAGAGAGUUAAACAGUACGUGAAAUUGUCAAAAGGGAAGCGUUUGACACCAGUGUUGUUUUUCUGAAAAUCAAUUAAAGAACUGCUUAUGCUAAGCUGUUUAGACUUUAUCAGCUAACUGUUUAGUUUUGAGCUUUUCUUUAAUGCACUUUUCAGUUAACAAGUCAACAUCAAUUUCUUUUGCUGUAAAAAAGCUUGAGGAAGGUGGCUUGAGAUUCGUCUUAAGUGUUUAUAGCCUCUUGCCUAUGCAGUCGGAGAGAUUGAGGUCUGCAGCGUAGAUCCUUCGGGGCUAAAUGCAUUUGUGCUAAGUUAUAGCAUUUUAUAGACAACUUGUUGACUAUGAUUUGUCUUGUAGCUUACUCGCUUAUGUUAUUUUACCUACGCUUAGGAUGUUGAGCGCAUGUCUCUCUCU